CCUUUGUUAGCGGCGGAUGGGUGAGUAACACGUGGGCAACCUGCCCUGCAGUUGGGGAUAACUCCGGGAAACCGGGGCUAAUACCGAAUAAUCAGUUCCUUCGCAUGAAGGAACUCUGAAAGACGGCUAUGCUGUCACUGCAGGAUGGGCCCGCGGCGCAUUAGCUAGUUGGUGAGGUAACGGCUUACCAAGGCGACGAUGCGUAGCCGACCUGAGAGGGUGAUCGGCCACACUGGGACUGAGACACGGCCCAGACUCCUACGGGAGGCAGCAGUAGGGAAUCUUCCACAAUGGACGAAAGUCUGAUGGAGCAACGCCGCGUGAGCGAAGAAGGUUUUCGGAUCGUAAAGCUCUGUUGUGAGGGAAGAACAAGUACAGGAGUAACUGCCUGUACCUUGACGGUACCUCAUUAGAAAGCCACGGCUAACUACGUGCCAGCAGCCGCGGUAAUACGUAGGUGGCAAGCGUUGUCCGGAAUUAUUGGGCGUAAAGCGCGCGCAGGCGGACUUUUAAGUCUGAUGUGAAAGCCCACGGCUAGGCGCGAAAGCAUGGGGAGCACACAGGAUUAGAUACCCUGGUAGUCCAUGCCGUAAACGAUGAGUGCUAAGUGUUAGGGGGUUUCCGCCCCUUAGUGCUGGAGCAAACGCAUUAAGCACUCCGCCUGGGGAGUACGGCCGCAAGGCUGAAACUCAAAGGAAUUGACGGGGACCCGCACAAGCGGUGGAGCAUGUGGUUUAAUUCGAAGCUACGCGAAGAACCUUACCAGGUCUUGACAUCCCGCUGACCGGUAUAGAGAUAUACCUUUCCCUUCGGGGACAGCGGUGACAGGUGGUGCAUGGUUGUCGUCAGCUCGUGUCGUGAGAUGUUGGGUUAAGUCCCGUAACGAGCGCAACCCUUGACCUUAGUUGCCAGCAUUCAGUUGGGCACUCUAAGGUGACUGCCGGUGACAAACCGGAGGAAGGUGGGGAUGACGUCAAAUCAUCAUGCCCCUUAUGACCUGGGCUACACACGUGCUACAAUGGACGGUACAGAGGGUUGCCAACCCGCGAGGGGGAGCUAAUCCCAUAAAACCGUUCCCAGUUCGGAUUGCAGGCUGCAACUCGCCUGCAUGAAGCAGGAAUCGCUAGUAAUC
This 1132-nucleotide ribosomal RNA is filed under the name Bacillus sp. CPB 4. RNAcentral's name for it is "bacterial SSU rRNA". It matches the Rfam family "Bacterial small subunit ribosomal RNA", at positions 86 to 1343 of the family's 1533-position model. The record is from RNAcentral. Lineage: Bacteria; Bacillati; Bacillota; Bacilli; Caryophanales; Bacillaceae.